RNAcentral lists this long non-coding RNA (6694 nucleotides) under Brassica napus (rape). RNAcentral's name for it is "long non-coding RNA (BNAP_LNC011142)". The record is from RNAcentral. Lineage: Eukaryota; Viridiplantae; Streptophyta; Magnoliopsida; Brassicales; Brassicaceae.
UUUUGUCGGUUUAUUAUUUGUUCGUCGGAAAAUUCUAUUCCGAUGGUUUUGCUUAAGAUAAAAAUGAAAGCUUCUGAGCAAAAAAAAUCAAAACUUUAUCAUUUCUUUUAUCGAAAUGGUUUCACUUUAUCAUUGUUCUUGAUGUUGAGGUUUUGGAUACGUUUAGGUAGCUGGAGUUCCCGGGGUUACGGAAGAGUUGUUUGAGGCGAGACAAUCUGCUCUUGCUCUGGAGAAAGGCAAAUCAGAUGAAGCGCCUAUGCUUUACACCUGCGGAGCUUGUGGUAAAGGCUACAGGAGCUCCAAGGCUCAUGAGCAGCAUCUCAAGUCACGGAGCCACGUUUUGCGUGUUUCGCAGGGGGAAACAAGCAACGGUGAUGAGGAUGUAGCGAUAGUCACGCCGCUUACUCGCCGUUUCAAGAAUAAAGAGAAUGAGGAGAGUGAUGAUGAGUGGGUGGAGGCUGAUUCAGAUGAGGAAAUGGCUGCUGAUGCUGAGGAAGAGGCCUCGGAGGCUUUGUCUAAGUUGAAUGUGAAUGAGUCAGGAGCUGGUGAGGAUGAUAUGGAUGAAGAUGAUGCUUAUGAGCUGGAUCCAACCUGUUGUUUGAUGUGUGACAAGAAGCAUAAGACUUUAGAGAUCUGUAUGGUUCACAUGCAUAAGCACCAUGGCUUCUUCGUUCCGGAUGUUGAGUAUCUAAAAGAUCCUGAAGGGCUUCUCACUUACCUCGGUCUUAAGGUUCGGACUCUCAUCCGUUUAGCAUUCUUGUAAAGCUUUUGGACUUUUUGAAACUCCUAUUUACUCUUUAUACCAUGGAUCAUCACUCAGGUCAAGAGAGACUACAUGUGUCUCUACUGCAGCGAGCUCUGCCAUGCAUUCAGCAGCUUAGAGGCUGUAAGAAAGCAUAUGGAAGCAAAGAGUCAUUGCAAAUUGCAUUAUGGUGAUGGUGAUGGUGAUGAUGAGGAAGAUGCUGAACUAGAAGAGUUCUACGACUACAGCAGCAGGUUUCUACUAGUAUCUUAUUAUUCUUGUAUUCCUCUUUUUGUGCCAAAUCUUAAUACAUUAUCUAUCAUAUUUGAGCAGUUAUGUUGAUGAAACUGGAGACCAGAUAGUUGUAGCUGGUGAAACAGACAACGCUGUAGAACUCGUUGGUGGUUCUGAGCUCGUGAUCACCGAGAGAUCUGAGAACACAACAACGUCUAGGACUCUGGGGUCACGUGAAUUCAUGCGUUACUAUAGACAGAAGCCGCGCCCAAGUUCUCAAAACAGUAACCAGAUUGUUGCCUCUCUGUCUUCAAGGUUUGUCUCUCAAACCGUUCGAUCAUUCAACCUAUUAAACUAGAGAAUCAUCAAGUUAAUCUUAACUAAGGUUAUUUUCCAUAAUUGGUUAAUGCUCAGGUACAAGAGCCUUGGUCUGAAGACAGUGCCAUCGAAAGAGGAUAGAGUGAAGAUGAAAGCGCUCAAGGAGAUGAACAAGAGAGGCGAGACAAUGCGUACCAAGAUGGCAAUGAAGAGUAACGUCAUAAGAAACUUGCCCAACAAUGUUCCUUAUUAGCUCUCUGAGCUUGUCCUUUUGAAUUGUGCGACUGUUCCAUGUACUUUGACAAAGUUGUGUUUGUGAUAAUAAGACUGAGCUUUAAAAACAUAACUAAUAAACAUGUUCAGUAAAAUAGUAAAUGUUAAACAUUGCUGCAGCAACCAAACAAUGUAUUCAAUCAAGUAAAAUACAAGGGAAGAAAGAAAAGAUUAAACCUCCAAGUUCGUUCUUGCUAUAGAGACACAUAGUGUAAAGGGUGCGUGAUACCUGAUUUGGUAGGACCACGCUUUGCUCAAUCUGUAUAGCUGAAAAAAAAAACAGAAACAAAAAGAGUUACUACAUGUAAACCAGAGCAGAAACUACUUUCAGCUUUAUCUCAUGUUGCCAUAUACUGAAAAACACUUAUUUACACAUGAGAAUAAAAAGGAAAAAAAAACACCUUGAGCACCUCCAUCAACAUUCAAUGAUGCUACACUACGAGGGGAUACAGUUUUAAGCAUUUCCUCUGUUGCUUUAGCUCUGACUUUGCGAAUUUCAUCUUGAAUAUUCCAUGUAGGAUUCGAACGGGAUCUCCUUCUCAGCUGCAUUUUGGUAUCCAAAAUCAGAAUGCAUAUGCAUAACUUUGAGAGGAGUCAUAAGACAUACAUAACGGUAUGCAACUUCUUCUUUUUUUGAAAACUGGACAAAGAAAAAACUCAAGACUUUCAAACAAUGUUUUGACCAGAAGAUGAGUAUGCACUGCACCUUGGAAGAGGAGAAGUUUCCAGCACUGUAAGGAAACGGCGUCCCUUCCUUAAUAAGUUGCAUCCCUGCUGGUGAUGGUGAGCGAAACUCUGAAGUGUUCGCAGCUGGAGAUCCCCAUGGCAGACGAGCUCUCAUAUAUGACUUGGCCACAUCCACAGGCGAUCCACCACCAUCUUCAGUUGCCUGGAAGUUGAAAAUAAAAACUGAGGUGGUUAUCAUUGUCUAAAGCACAUUGGAGAAGAAACUAUAAAUGGUGGAAUUGGUCAAGAAAAACUAUCAGAAGAUGAUUUUUUUUUUUUUUUUUGUGAGCACAUGAUAAUACUUAAAACUACUCUAGCUAGAGAGAUCUGAACUUACUAUAGACUUUGAACUUGAUGCUGAUUUCUUCUCCUCCAACCAUCUUUUUGCUUCCAUGACAGCUUUAUUAGACAUUUCACCCACAUCCACCUCUGAGAAAGAAAAAAAGCGAGAAAAUGUUAUCACAUAGACUAAUCUCGUCUGCUUGCACAAGAUUAGUUACAUACCAUUAUCACUAUGCCUCCCCUCAUUAGGAGUGGGGACACUGGGAUGAUCUACAACCCUCGCCUUGAUGAUAUCUAUUAAUCUAUCGCCUUCUUCCCUGGAACAACAUACAAAUCAACAGCUUAACAAGCUCCUCAUGAAAAAAUAUUACAGAUUUAUUUUCAACUAUAUGUCUAGACACUUGUAAAUACCUUGCAAAUGUUUCUUGCAUGAUAAGCUGCUCAAUUACACGCUUAGAACCGAGUCUUUGGAUGGUUGAUUCCUGAAGGUCAUAUUAACACAAGAACACAUCAUAAUCGCUUCACAUAAACUGAAAUAAGACUUCCAUCAAAAAUUACAAAGUUGAAAAAGUCAACUUUGUGUACUUCUACAAAACAAUCAAACUGGUGAAAAGGUAGACUCAGCACAAAACCAUAUCGAAAAUUUUCAAACUAGAGAACCUUUGGUAACACCAUACACUAGGCCAAUAUAGCUUGAAUCAGUUCUGUGAAGAAUGAACUUGGAGAUUACAGGCCAAGGGUCUCUAAGUAAAUUUAAAACAAGGCAUAGCAUAAUCACACAAAACGAGUAAGGUGGUUAGUACCUCAACCAUUGUUUCAUCUUCGAGAACAUCCUCAUCAUCACCUUCAAUAUCAGAAAACAAAUGAAACCUACUUCAAAAGAGUAUAAGGAAGAAACAAGCAGGAUGAUGGGUGGAACAUAGUUAAACCCGUAUAUGAAAAAAAAAACAUUAGAGCUUGAGAACUUAUACAAUGAUUCACUGCAAUUAAGUGACAUUAAUGAAGGAAAUAGAAAAAAAAGGUGGAAGCUUUAAAUCAAAUUCACAUUUCAAAGAAAAAGGGUUGGUUUCAGAUUCCGAGUUUCCGACCAAACAAAAAAACCGAAAUUUCCAAACUAAUCUUGUCUGAAUCUAACGAAAGUAUUCAUUUUUUUUUGCUUAACCGAAUGAAUUAAGGCAACACAUAUAUAUACCUGAAGAUGAAUCCUCGUCCUCGGAAGAAGAUGAGGAAGAUUCAGAGAAGACGACGGAAGAAAUGAAUUUCCCGGCGCCGGAGGCAAUCACGGUGACAGGUUUGUAAACGAGCCUGGACAUCCAACUAGGGUUUUGCUGAGGAGGAUCUCUGGAUCUUGGAGCGGGGCGGUCGUACGGCGUCUUGACGGCGAAUCUCCGGCGAGGUCGAACAAUCUUGCCUCCGGAUUGAGGCUGACGUGGUCCGGCGUCGGAAUCCAUGGGAGAAGUCAGAAGGGAGAAAGUGAGAGAGUUCGUUGAUGUUUUUUCUAGUUAUUUGUCGUCUUCUUGUUCUCCUCCCUCUAUAUUUUUUUUUUAUCUGUUUUUUCUCACCCCAGUUUUGUUUCCUAAUUAACAGGGCUGCGGUUAGAAUUACUAAUCAUUUUUUUAAAUGAAAUUCAUGUUUGUUUUCCACAUUAAGGCCAAUUAUAUCUUGAUCCGCCCCCGCACGGCUGUUAGAUUUAAUUUGCGUUCAAUGUAAAUUUAUAAACCAUUAAUUUUAUAAAAUAUCCAUUUAUAUUUUUAUGUUUUGUAAAAUGUAUUUAGUGUAAAAUAUAUUAUAUUAUAAUAUAGACUAGAGCUUGACCCGCACAUCCGUGCGGGUUUUAUUUUUAUCUUUUUAUAAUUUUUUUAGUGAUAUUCUUAAAACAUAUAAGUUAUUUAGAUAUUUUUAGGUUCCUACAAACUUACCCGGAUCCGGAAGAAUCCAAACUGAACCAUGUUCGAAAAUUUAUAAUACCCGAACAUAGUUUAACUUUAAAUCAAAAAAACUCGAUAUCCAUAAAUAUUGAUAUGUAUCUGAACGAAUACAUGAAUGACCAUGUCUAAAUGAUCUAGUAAACAAAUAAAAAUAAAUUUGUUAACCGGUUUGACUUCUUGUCACUAAAGGAGUAAUUUCAUUUUGACACGUGAAAUUAUUAUGGUUAAUACGUAAAAUAAAUGACAUUGAAUUAUAAUGGUAAAUAAAAUUAAUGAAGUAAUUUUGAAAAGUAAAAAAAAAGAAUGUGAAAACGUGAUAAGAUCUUGUGCUUAUUCCAUAAAUGUUUAUCUAAGUUUUUAUGUUUGUUCUUUUAUUAUAGACGUAAAUCAAAGAUUUUCUGCUUGUUUUAAUAUUCUGGAUUCUAAAUUAAUGUAGUUCCUUUAUUAUAGUCGUGGAAAUCACAUUUAGGAAAACAAUAUAGUUCGUUUGAGUUAUUAAUAAUUUGUUUCCUUGUUUGUAGUUCGUUUGAGUUAUUUUAGGAAAACAAUGAAUAUGUAGAAAAAACAAUCAUUUUUAAUGUGAGAUUAAUUUAAUUCUUAAUGGCAUUUGGCUGUAAAUAUUGUGUAACUUUUAGGGUUAUUCUAUAAGUGUACUUUUGUUUUAAUAUAUUAGAUGUUUGAUAUUUUUUUAUCUGUACGUAAUAUUAUAUUUAUAAUUUUAUAACUUGAUGCAAUUUGAUGUAAUUGUAAUAUUCAUAUAUUAACCUAUUGAUUUUUUUGUUUAUUUAUUUAAAAAUGAUUUAAUUUUUUAGAGUAGGUUUUAUGAAUUGUUAUUAAUUUUAUGAUAUUUGGUUUUCUUGAAAAUUGUAUUGUAGCAGAUUAAUAUAUACUAUAUAUUACAAUUUGUAUUUUUUAUUUUCAGCAAAAAAAAUAACAGUUCAUUGUAAUUAAUUAAUUUAAAUUUUUGAUUUUAAGUGAAUUGACAGAUUUGUAAUUAAAAAUGAAAUACAAUUGCUAAAUGUGUAAAUAAAAAAAAAUAUUUAAUCUACUAUACGUGUUUCCAUAAUCUGUAAAUGAGAAAGAAAUACAGUAACUAAAUAUGUAAAUAAAAAAAAUAUUUAAUCUGCUAUCAUUGUUUCUAAACAACUUACAUUUAAUUUACUAUCUAAGUUUUCAAAUAGUAUCAAAAGAUACUUCAGUUUUAAUAAUAUAGAUUGAUGACAAUAUUUUAGGAAAAAAAAAAUAUUAUGGUCAAUUAUUUGUUUUUCAAAUUUUAUACUACCAAUUAGAUUAAAUUUUUGGUCAAGAUAGAUCUUACUCUAUUCUUUUAAAUUUUUCAUGAACGAACGAAAUUUUUGAAAAAAAAUCUACUCUUCUAUUUUUUUUAUGAAGAAUAAAAUGAACAACUUUUUUUCGUUUAUUUAAUUUCUUAAAUGAAUUUCUGUUUAUUAUUUUUUUUGGUAUUGGAUAUUGGAUAAACCUGCUGUUCAUUUAUUCAACGGGCUUUAACACUUUAAGCCCAAUAACAACAAAACCUUAGGCCCACUAGAAACUUACCAGCUUUUCCCCAUAACAUCAUCAAAACGAAACGAGCAAAACCAUUUGGAAUCGAUUGAUCUGUUCAUUUCUCUUCUUUCGCUCAUCGGAAUCGAUCGAGCUGGUGAGAGAUGCCGGGCUUAACAUGUAACGCGUGUAACAUGGAGUUCGAGAACGAAGCUGAACGAAAGCUCCAUUACAGCUCCGAUUGGCACCGUUACAAUCUCAAGCGCAAGGUCAUAUAUUUUUGUCGGUUUAUUAUUUGUUCGUCGGAAAAUUCUAUUCCGAUGGUUUUGCUUAAGAUAAAAAUGAAAGCUUCUGAGCAAAAAAAAUCAAAACUUUAUCAUUUCUUUUAUCGAAAUGGUUUCACUUUAUCAUUGUUCUUGAUGUUGAGGUUUUGGAUACGUUUAGGUAGCUGGAGUUCCCGGGGUUACGGAAGAGUUGUUUGAGGCGAGACAAUCUGCUCUUGCUCUGGAGAAAGGCAAAUCAGAUGAAGCGCCUAUGCUUUACACCUGCGGAGCUUGUGGUAAAGGCUACAGGAGCUCCAAGGCUCAUGAGCAGCAUCUCAAGUCACGGAGCCACGUUUUGCGUGUUUCGCAGGGGGAAACAAGCAACGGUGAUGAGGAUGUAGCGAUAGUCACGCCGCUUACUCGCC